CAAUAGCGUAUAUUAAAGUUGCUGCAGUUAAAAAGCUCGUAGUUGCAUUUCCGAGGCAAGGGAUUAGUCCGACCUUUGGUGGGUAUUUAAUCCUCUUGCCUCGUCCUUGAGUGGUGCUUCUUGGUAUUAAGUUAUCGAGGAGAUAGGCGCUCAUCGUUUACUGUGAGAAAAUUAGAGUGUUCAAAGCAGGCUUAUGCCGUUGAAUAUAUUAGCAUGGAAUAAUAAGAUAGGACCUCGGUACUAUUUUGUUGGUUUGAGAACCAAGGUAAUGAUGAAUAGGGACAGUUGGGGGUAUUCGUAUUCAGUUGUCAGAGGUGAAAUUCUUAGAUUUACGGAAGACGAACUACUGCGAAAGCAUUUACCAAGGAUGUUUUCAUUAA
RNAcentral lists this ribosomal RNA (380 nucleotides) under uncultured eukaryote. RNAcentral describes it as "partial 18S ribosomal RNA". It matches the Rfam family "Eukaryotic small subunit ribosomal RNA", at positions 592 to 976 of the family's 1831-position model. The record is from RNAcentral.